UGAGUAGGCAAGUUGAAUUGAAGUUUCGUUAACUUUGUUAGGAUCAAGCCAGACUAGAUCACACAGAAGACCGUCGCGUCGAUCAGCGUAUAGUAAGUAAUGGUUUGCUGAAUUUCAAGUAAUUAUUCGGUUCCAUGUUUUCAAUUGCUGACUCAGAGGCCACUAUGAACGCUAAAUAAUCUUCUCACACGUCACAUACGACGACCUGAGAAACGAGGUCGUAAGUGUAUCAGAUUUGCCUACAUUCGAUGAGAAAUUUCGUUGACUGGAUUGCUUUCGUCGUUAGUUCGCGAUAUGAAGAAUCUAUUUCGCGUGCUUUGCUUUGAACGGCAUUAAGAGGCAAAUGCAUUCGAUGGAGUAAUUACUGUACGAUUGAUGUAAUCGUUCGAAAAAAAAGGUCGUUAAGUUUGCCAAUUUUGCCAGCGUAUCGUAUUGAUAAGUUCAUCUCAUCCACGAUCAACGAAUACCUAUACAUGUUGCAAUCGAGCUAAUUUGAUUAUACGAGUAUUGUCAUUUUUCGGAUGAGAUAUGUCCGUGAAAAUUAUUACGUUCGUUGAUUUACACGAAAUCGUGAGUUAUUUCAAGGUUCGCGCUUCACGAAGCUGGCAAAAGUAUACCUACUUGGUGGUUAUGGUUGCAACUUGGAAGUGGAAGAGAUUCUCUCGACGUAAACAUGUAUCUAA
This is a long non-coding RNA of Planococcus citri (citrus mealybug), 683 nucleotides long. RefSeq lists it as uncharacterized. The record is from RefSeq and is a predicted model, not a curated record. The transcript is spliced from 4 exons. Lineage: Eukaryota; Metazoa; Arthropoda; Insecta; Hemiptera; Pseudococcidae.